This 516-nucleotide ribosomal RNA is filed under the name uncultured bacterium. RNAcentral describes it as "partial 16S ribosomal RNA". It matches the Rfam family "Bacterial small subunit ribosomal RNA", at positions 28 to 523 of the family's 1533-position model. The record is from RNAcentral.
GACGAACGCUGGCGGCGUGCCUAACACAUGCAAGUCGAACGGAGUGUUUAUUUAUAAACACUUAGUGGCGAACGGGUGAGUAACGCGUAGACAACCUACCCUCUAGAUGGGGACAACACCGCGAAAGUGGUGCUAAUACCGAAUGUUGUAAUGUUAUUGCAUAAUGAUAUUACUAAGGGUGGCCUCUAUAUAAAAGCUACCGCUAGAAGAUGGGUCUGCGUCUGAUUAGCUAGUUGGUGAGAUAACAGCUCACCAAGGCAAUGAUCAGUAGCCGGUCUGAGAGGAUAGACGGCCACACUGGGACUGAGACACGGCCCAGACUCCUACGGGAGGCAGCAGUGGGGAAUCUGCCGCAAUGGACGAAAGUCUGACGGAGCAACGCCGCGUGAGUGAAGAAGGUUUUCGGAUCGUAAAGCUCUGUCUUCAAGGACGAAUGUAGAUAUUGUGAAUAAUGAUAUUUAAUGACGGUACUUGAGGAGGAAGCCACGGCUAACUACGUGCCAGCCGCCGCCGUAA